Molecule: unclassified non-coding RNA, 745 nt
Filed under: Hevea brasiliensis (rubber tree)
Lineage: Eukaryota; Viridiplantae; Streptophyta; Magnoliopsida; Malpighiales; Euphorbiaceae
Source: RNAcentral
UGGAGAUAGAAAUUUCUUAUACUCAAAUGUACUACAUUAUACAUUUGAAAAACAGAAAACGCAAAUAAGAUUAAAAACAUAAAUCUGCUUUUUAUCAAGUGAGACCAUUUAACAUAGGAAACACAAUUAAAGCAGCAACCCAUAAUUUUGUAGUACAUACAAUUUAAAUAAUAACUUAGACAUAACUGUCGAUCAAUGAUUUCCUCAUCUCAUCAACAAUAGCAGUAGGUUGAGCUUCUCUCAGCUUGAAAACACUUUCAAUAACAGAUAGCUCUGUUGCCGUAGUGUCCGAGCCAGUAAAUGCUGUCCAGUCAUUGACAGUCAAUCCAGCACCAAUCACUUCACUACCGCGGUUCACAGUUCCUGCAACCAGAGGAACCUGAAGAAGAGUUGAAAGCUCAUCCAAGUCUUCAAUGGACGUAUGAGGAUGUACCAAACCUCCUGUGUUUGAGAUAGCACAAUAGCUGCCAACAAGAAUAUUCCCUGCUAUUGUUUGCCUGAAAACUUCCACACCAAGAACAUCAGCAAUCAUCUCUUCCGUUUCCUUGUCAAGAUCUGUAUGUGUCAGAGCAACAUGAUCGUUGCAAGCAAUGCAGUUGCCCAGGGCAGAUAAUCGCUCAUCAAUGCGCUGGACCACAACUCCAUCUGGCAGACUGUUCCUCAAGUGCUGAAGUUCUUGAUCUGUAGUAGUGUGAGGCAAGAGAAGACCAUUUUUGUUUCCAGCGCAGAGUCUUCCAAUUAUCCU